This 497-nucleotide ribosomal RNA is filed under the name uncultured bacterium. Its description in RNAcentral is "partial 16S ribosomal RNA". It matches the Rfam family "Bacterial small subunit ribosomal RNA", at positions 28 to 507 of the family's 1533-position model. The record is from RNAcentral.
GAUGAACGCUGGCGGCGUGCCUAAUACAUGCAAGUCGAGCGAAAAGACGAGGAGCUUGCUCCUCUGACGAUAGCGGCGGACGGGAGUGUAACACGUGGAUAACCUACCUAUAAGACUGGGAUAACUUCGGGAAACCGGAGCUAAUACCGGAUAAUAUAUUGAUCCGCAUGGUUCAAUAGUGAAAGACGGUUUUGCUGUCACUAAUAGAUGGUUCUGCGCCGCAUUAGCUAGUUGGUAAGGUAAAGGCUUACCAAGGGAACGAUGCGUAGCCGACCUGAGAGGGGGGUCGCCCACACGAGAACGGAGACACGGUCCAGACUCCUACGAGAGGCAGCAGUAGGGUAUCUUACGCAAUAGGCGAAAGCCUUGCAGAGCAGCGCCGCGUGAGAUGUGAAGGUCUUCGGAUCGUAAAACUCGGUUAUUAGGUAAGAACAGAUUUGUAAGGAGCUAUACACGUCUUGACGGUACCUAGUCAGAAAGCCACGGCUAACUACGUG